RNAcentral lists this ribosomal RNA (468 nucleotides) under uncultured bacterium. Its description in RNAcentral is "partial 16S ribosomal RNA". It matches the Rfam family "Bacterial small subunit ribosomal RNA", at positions 28 to 507 of the family's 1533-position model. The record is from RNAcentral.
GACGAACGCUGGCGGCGUGCUUAACACAUGCAAGUCGAACGGAAAGGCCCUGCUUUUGUGGGGUGCUCGAGUGGCGAACGGGUGAGUAACACGUGAGUAACCUGCCCUUGACUUUGGGAUAACUUCAGGAAACUGGGGCUAAUACCGGAUAGGAGCUCCUGCUGCAUGGUGGUGGUUGGAAAGUUUCGGCGGUUGGGGAUGGACUCGCGGCUUAUCAGCUUGUUGGUGGGGUAGUGGCUUACCAAGGCUUUGACGGGUAGCCGGCCUGAGAGGGUGACCGGCCACAUUGGGACUGAGAUACGGCCCAGACUCCUACGGGAGGCAGCAGUGGGGAAUAUUGCACAAUGGGCGGAAGCCUGAUGCAGCAACGCCGCGUGCGGGAUGACGGCCUUCGGGUUGUAAACCGCUUUCGCCUGUGACGAAGCGUGAGUGACGGUAAUGGGUAGAGAAGCACCGGCUAACUACGUG